UAAUACGGAGGGUGCAAGCGUUAAUCGGAAUUACUGGGCGUAAAGCGUGCGUAGGCGGCUUAUUAAGUCAGAUGUGAAAGCCCUGGGCUUAACCUGGGAACUGCAUUUGAAACUGGUAAGCUAGAGUUGAGUAGAGGAGAGUGGAAUUUCAGGUGUAGCGGUGAAAUGCGUAGAGAUCUGAAGGAACACCAGUGGCGAAGGCGGCUCUCUGGACUCAAACUGACGCUGAGGUACGAAAGCGUGGGUAGCAAACAGG
This 256-nucleotide ribosomal RNA is filed under the name uncultured archaeon. RNAcentral's name for it is "partial 16S ribosomal RNA". It matches the Rfam family "Bacterial small subunit ribosomal RNA", at positions 521 to 776 of the family's 1533-position model. The record is from RNAcentral.